GUAGGUGGCAAGCGUUGUCCGGAAUUAUUGGGCGUAAAGCGCGCGCAGGCGGUUUUUUAAGUCUGAUGUGAAAGCCCACGGCUCAACCGUGGAGGGUCAUUGGAAACUGGAGAACUUGAGUACAGAAGAGGAAAGCGGAAUUCCACGUGUAGCGGUGAGAUGCGUAGAGAUGUGGAGGAACACCAGUGGCGAAGGCGGCUUUCUGGUCUGUAACUGACGCUGAGGCGCGAAAGCGUGGGGAGCAAACAGGAUUAGAUACCCUGGUAGUCCACGCCGUAAACGAUGAGUGCUAAGUGUUAGGGGGUUUCCGCCCCCCUUAGUGCUGCAGCUAACGCAUUAAGCACUCCGCCUGGGAGUACGGCCGCAAGGCUG
This 372-nucleotide ribosomal RNA is filed under the name uncultured organism. RNAcentral's name for it is "partial 16S ribosomal RNA". It matches the Rfam family "Bacterial small subunit ribosomal RNA", at positions 527 to 896 of the family's 1533-position model. The record is from RNAcentral.